RNAcentral lists this ribosomal RNA (253 nucleotides) under uncultured bacterium. RNAcentral describes it as "partial 16S ribosomal RNA". It matches the Rfam family "Bacterial small subunit ribosomal RNA", at positions 524 to 776 of the family's 1533-position model. The record is from RNAcentral.
UACAGAGGUCUCAAGCGUUGUUCGGAUUCAUUGGGCGUAAAGGGUGCGUAGGCGGCGCGGUAAGUCGGGUGUGAAAUCUCGGAGCUUAACUCCGAAACUGCAUUCGAUACUGCCGUGCUUGAGGACUGGAGAGGAGACUGGAAUUUACGGUGCAGCGGUGAAAUGCGUAGAUAUCGUAAGGAAGACCAGUGGCGAAGGCGGGUCUCUGGACAGUUCCUGACGCUGAGGCACGAAGGUCAGGGGAGCAAACGGG